GCUCUGGUUCUUGCUUUGGUUUUUAAUAGAAAACUAACUGACUUUUUACAGGCUAAGGGAAUCACUUGCGCUGUAAGUUUUUAAAAGAAGAACAUUCUUUCUGUUCCAUUGCUCUUACUGGUUCUCGGUUUUUAACUUUCAAGAGACUAAAAACUGCUGUGUAGGCGGCAGCUGUUGCUCCGAGUCUGAAGAUGUUACAUUCAACAAUUUGAUGGGGAUGUCGAGAAUCUUAGUGAUAGUGUACGCCAAAAGAUUGACAUGGAAUUGUUCAACAGAGAAAAUCUUGAUUUUGUUUCCCUGCUU
Long non-coding RNA from Arabidopsis thaliana (thale cress), 303 nucleotides. RefSeq annotates it as other RNA. The record is from RefSeq. The transcript is spliced from 2 exons. NCBI's taxonomy places the organism in Eukaryota, Viridiplantae, Streptophyta, Magnoliopsida, Brassicales, Brassicaceae.